GACGAGGGGUCCUAGCGUUGUUCGGAAUCACUGGGCGUAAAGCGUUUGUAGGCGGCUCUAUAAGUCGGGUGUGAAAUCCCACGGCUCAACCGUGGAAGUGCAUUCGAAACUGCAGAGCUUGAAUAUGGAAGAGGAGAGUAGAAUUCCUGGUGUAGUGGUGAAAUACGUAGAUAUCAGGAGGAAUACCGGUGGCGAAGGCGGCUCUCUGGUCCAAUAUUGACGCUGAGAAACGAAAGUGCGGGGAUCAAACAGG
Molecule: ribosomal RNA, 253 nt
Filed under: uncultured bacterium
Lineage: Bacteria
Description: partial 16S ribosomal RNA
Rfam family: Bacterial small subunit ribosomal RNA
Source: RNAcentral